Long non-coding RNA from Centruroides sculpturatus (bark scorpion), 513 nucleotides. RefSeq lists it as uncharacterized. The transcript is spliced from 3 exons. Lineage: Eukaryota; Metazoa; Arthropoda; Arachnida; Scorpiones; Buthidae. The record is from RefSeq and is a predicted model, not a curated record.
AAGAUAGAGAACGUAAAUCAAUAUUACAAUUCCCAACCAAGUACCAAGAAAAAUCGUAAUAAACAGUUCGAAUGUUAAGGAAUGAGUAACUACACAAACAUGAAGAUGACACUUAUCAACGUUUCUGUGCUUUCUUAAGAGAUUGGAAUCCACACAACUGGUAGUAAAAUUUUGGAUUUCAUAAUAACUAAGGAAUUUGCUUUCACGGUAACGAAAACGAUAUUUACUUUCUUCGAAAGUUUAAACGCUAUAAACGGUAAAGGCCAAAUAAAUAAACGCAUUAAACAUUGGUACUUAGUCAUUGCUUCGUGCCUAACCAAUAUACUGGUCACAUGAAAAGAUCUGGGUUUUCUUCAUGUGUCUAACAACAAAACAAAAUCCACUUUCUACAUAGAAAGUCCUGUAAGAAGUAAACACCAUUAAUAGAUCACUGAUGCACUCUGUUCCCUUACUCCAUCAAUCUACUGAUACAAAUAUUAAUGCUGACAUUUAAAUAUCUUGCCAAUAAAGUUA